Molecule: ribosomal RNA, 255 nt
Filed under: uncultured Methylophaga sp.
Lineage: Bacteria; Pseudomonadati; Pseudomonadota; Gammaproteobacteria; Thiotrichales; Piscirickettsiaceae
Description: partial 16S ribosomal RNA
Rfam family: Bacterial small subunit ribosomal RNA
Source: RNAcentral
UAGAGGUGAGUGGAAUUUCAGGUGUAGCGGUGAAAUGCGUAGAGAUCUGAAGGAACUUCUUCUGGCGAAGGCGACUCACUGGGCCAUUACUGACGCUGAGGUGCGAAAGCGUGGGUAGCAAACAGGAUUAGAUACCCUGGUAGUCCACGCCCUAAACGAUGUCAACUAGGUGUAUGGAGAAUUUAUUCUUUGUGUAUCGAAGCUAACGCGAUAAGUUGACCGCCUGGGGAGUACGGUCGCAAGACUAAAACUCAA